UGGUGGAGUGAUUUGUCUGGUUAAUUCCGUUAACGAACGAGACUGCUGCCUGUUAAAUAAUUCUUUGAGUGUACAAUACUGACAAGAAUUUCUUAGAGGGACGUGCAUUCUAUUAGAUGCAGGAGGAUAGCAGCAAUAACA
Molecule: ribosomal RNA, 141 nt
Filed under: uncultured eukaryote
Lineage: Eukaryota
Description: partial 18S ribosomal RNA
Rfam family: Eukaryotic small subunit ribosomal RNA
Source: RNAcentral